UAAUUUUAUCUAACCUGGUGAGCCCGCACAUCCACCUGAGCAUCCUCAUCUCCGCAACCUUCAUCCUCUGAACAUGAGAGUUCUUCACUGGACAACACUCCGGCCAUACAAUAUUGCAGGUCUAACCACAGCUCUAUGAAAUUUCCCCUUGAGUUUCAGUGGAACUUUCUUGUCACACAACACUCCUGAUGCAAGCCUCCACUUUGACCCCCCCGCUCCUAUAUGAUGAGUGACGUCCCCGUCAAUCUCUCCCUCCCCCUGAAUCACCGACCCAAGAUAUCUGACACUGUCCCUCUUGGAGAUGACCUGAGAUCCAAUCAUCACGUCUCCGCCUACUUCGCUCGGUUCGACGCUAAACUUGCACUCCAGGUAUUCUGUCUUAGAUAUGUUUAUUUUGAAACCCUUAGACUCGAGAUUCUGUCUCCAUACCUCUAACCUCUCAUUAACACCGACCCUCGUCUCGUCUAU
RNAcentral lists this long non-coding RNA (468 nucleotides) under Nicotiana benthamiana. Its description in RNAcentral is "long non-coding RNA (NBEN_LNC032532)". The record is from RNAcentral. Lineage: Eukaryota; Viridiplantae; Streptophyta; Magnoliopsida; Solanales; Solanaceae.